RNAcentral lists this long non-coding RNA (2159 nucleotides) under Salmo trutta (river trout). Its description in RNAcentral is "lncRNA (ENSSTUG00000005522.1)". The record is from RNAcentral. Lineage: Eukaryota; Metazoa; Chordata; Actinopteri; Salmoniformes; Salmonidae.
AAACAAUAAACGAUACCAUGAACGAACAGCUUCACAGGCUACGAAUAGCAAUGCAAAUACAAUUCCCCACCAACAGCGUGCGGGAAAAUGAACUUAAAUGAGAUCCCAAUCAGAGACAACUAGCGACAGCUGUCUCUGAUUGGGAAGACAGAAACCAACAUAGAAAUACUCCCCAAUAGAGCCAACACAAGGCUCCAACGCAAAACAGAAAACAAACACAGGAAAACCACCCAACAUAAACCACCCUGACCCAUGCCCAGCAUGUGCUGGGCAUGUCCACCGGACGCACCCGCCAGUGCGCCCGCACAGCCCGGUGCGUCCGGUGGACAUGCCCAGCACAUGCCGUGCUAGGAUGGGCAUCCAGCCAGGACGAGUGGCUAAACCGGCUCCACGCUUCAGGUCACCAGUGCGUGUUCACAGUCCUGUCUGGCCCGUUCCUGUUCCCCGCACCAAGCCCACGGUGCGUGUCCCCAGUCCUGUCCGGCCCGUCCCUGCUCCCCGCACCAAGCCAUGGUAUGCUGAGUUGCGCGCUGUGUCGCCAGUGCGCCCGCACAGCCCGGUGCGUCCGGUGGACAUGCCCAGCACAUGCCGUGCUAGGAUGGGCAUCCAGCCAGGACGAGUGGCUAAACCGGCUCCACGCUUCAGGUCACCAGUGCGUGUUCACAGUCCUGUCUGGCCCGUUCCUGUUCCCCGCACCAAGCCCACGGUGCGUGUCCCCAGUCCUGUCCGGCCCGUCCCUGCUCCCCGCACCAAGCCAUGGUAUGCAGAGUUGCGCGCUGUGUCGCCAGUGCGCCCGCACAGCCCAGUGCGUCCGGUGGACAUGCCCAGCACAUGCCGUGCUAGGAUGGGCAUCCAGCCAGGACGAGUGGCUAAACCGGCUCCACGCUUCAGGUCACCAGUACGUGUUCACAGUCCUGUCUGGCCCGUCCCUGCUCCCCGCACCAGGUUAGUGGUGCGUGUCCCCAGUCCUGUCCGGCCCGUCCCUGCUCCCCGCACCAGGUUAGUGGUGCGUGUCCCCAGUCCUGUCCGGCCCGUCCCUGCUCCCCGCACCAGGUUAGUGGUGCGUGUCCCCAGUCCUGUCCGGCCCGUCCCUGCUCCCCGCACCAAGUCAGUGGUGCGUGUCCCCAGUCCGGUCCGGCCCGUCCCUGCUCCCCGCACCAAGUCAGUGGUGCGUGUCCCCAGUCCGGUCCGGCCCGUCCCUGCUCCCCGCACCAGGUUAGUGGUGCGUGUCCCCAGUCCUGUCCGGCCCGUCCCUGCUCCCCGCACCAGGUUAGUGGUGCGUGUCCCCAGUCCUGUCCGGCCCGUCCCUGCUCCCCGCACCAAGUCAGUGGUGCGUGUCCCCAGUCCGGUCCGGCCCGUCCCUGCUCCCCGCACCAAGUCAGUGGUGCGUGUCCCCAGUCCGGUCCGGCCCGUCCCUGCUCCCCGCACCAGGUUAGUGGUGCGUGUCCCCAGUCCUGUCCGGCCCGUCCCUGCUCCCCGCACCAGGUUAGUGGUGCGUGUCCCCAGUCCUGUCCGGCCCGUCCCUGCUCCCCGCACCAGGUUAGUGGUGCGUGUCCACAGUCCUGUCCGGCCCGUCCCUGUUCCCCGCACCAAGCCCACGGUGCGUGUCCACAGUCCUGUCCGGCCCGUCCCUGUUCCCCGCACCAAGCCCACGGUGCGUGUCCACAGUCCUGUCCGGCCCGUUCCUGUUCCCCGCACCAAGCCCACGGUGCGUGUCCACAGUCCGGCACGGCCCGUGUCUGGUCCACCGGUGCCCAAUCAUGUUCCGGUCGACGGCUCCGCUCCGGAGCCUGAGCAUGCCGCUCCACAGUGGUCCAGUCCGGGCCAGAGGGGUAGGGCUAGGGUGGAGGCAGGGGGAGAAACACGCCCGGGGCCAGAGCCUCCACCGAGGGUGAGGCGCCCACCCGGGUCCCCCCCCUAAUAGACUUUAGUUUGGUGCGCCGGGAGUACGCAGCGUUGGAGGGGGGGUACUGUCACGCCCUGACCAGGUGAACUCUGCUAUUUUGGUCAGGGUGUGGCAUUUCUAUGCUUUAUUUUCUAUGUUUUGGUUAUAGCCUUUCUUUGUGUUUUAUUUCUAUGUUGGGCUCGGGGGUGAUUUCCCAAUCAGACAGCUGUCGCUUGUGAAGUCUGAUUGGGAAUCACAUUUAAGUUCCUUUUCC